RNAcentral lists this ribosomal RNA (138 nucleotides) under uncultured eukaryote. RNAcentral describes it as "partial 18S ribosomal RNA". It matches the Rfam family "Eukaryotic small subunit ribosomal RNA", at positions 1299 to 1458 of the family's 1831-position model. The record is from RNAcentral.
UGGUGGAGCGAUUUGUCUGGUCAAUUCCGAUAACGAACGAGACUCUGGCCGAUUAAAUAGUUCGCCGAUUCCGAUCUGUCGGCGUUAACUUCUUAGAGGGACAAGUGGCUUUUAGCCACGCGAGAUUGAGCAAUAACA